This 204-nucleotide long non-coding RNA is filed under the name Lathyrus oleraceus (garden pea). RNAcentral's name for it is "Pisum sativum (pea) long non-coding RNA (PSAT_LNC018724)". Lineage: Eukaryota; Viridiplantae; Streptophyta; Magnoliopsida; Fabales; Fabaceae. The record is from RNAcentral.
UGUGAUGUGUGUGCUGUUCUGUUGUGGCUGAUAUUAUGGAAGUUGUUCCCCCAAAUGUUUGGAUGCUAAAGUUUUUAUUGUUUUUUUUUUAAAUGUGUAAUUUAUGGCAGUCCUUAUUGAUGCCUUUUUGUAAUAUUUUGGGCUCUUAAUGAGUUCCAUGGAUUUGUUCAUUAUCUCAGGUAUCACAGUUGUGUAUAAUGUUGG